CCUACGGGAGGCAGCAGUGGGGAAUAUUGGGCAAUGGGCGCAAGCCUGACCCAGCAACGCCGCGUGAAGGAAGAAUGCUUUCGGGUUGUAAACUUCUUUUCUCAGGGACGAAGAAAGUGACGGUACCUGAGGAAUAAGCCACGGUUAACUACGUGCCAGCAGCCGCGGUACUACGUCGGUUGCAAGCGUUAUUCGGAUCUACUGGGUGUAAAGUGCGAGUAGGCGGGUCGGGAAGUCAGAUGUGAAAACCACGGGCUCAACCGGUGGACUGCAUUUGACACUGUAAGUCUAGAGUACAGGAGAGGCAGACGGAAUUCCUAGUGUAGCGGUGAAAUGCGUAGAUAUUAGGAAGAACACCAGUGGCGAAGGCGGUCUGCUAGACAGCAACUGACGCUGAGGCGCGAAAGCGUGGGGAGCAAACAGGAUUAGAUACCCUUGUAGUC
RNAcentral lists this ribosomal RNA (443 nucleotides) under uncultured bacterium. Its description in RNAcentral is "partial 16S ribosomal RNA". It matches the Rfam family "Bacterial small subunit ribosomal RNA", at positions 338 to 795 of the family's 1533-position model. The record is from RNAcentral.